GUUCUGUAAUGCUAUAAAGGGAUGGAAAGUACCAUGAUAGUAACAGGGUGGUAAAGUCUUUAGCAACAAAUAAGAACAAGCCCAAGUGCAGCAGCCACAGAUACAAAAAUAAAAGAAAAAAAGGCUGCUUAGCUUUGGAAAACAUCAGGGAAAUAGGGACCUCCAAAGAGAGAGACCCUUGCUUCCACCGCCAAACCUUACAUGAAAUCUGGGAAGAAGUGGAUCCUUGGUGAAGCUUUCCUCUGUGAACCUAGAAUCUUCUGAUAUGGGUUUGUCCUUCUCCUUCCUUCCCAGGCUCCUCUGAAUGCAGUGAGCCACAAACUGAAAUGUUUCAAGGAGUUCUUCUGGCUGAUUCAAUUCUGUCCCCGUCAAACCUAGCCUCCUGAGUAUGUCUUAUCUCAUUUCUGUGUGCCCAGUUUGGACGUCUUUAGAUAUGCUAGGCCUUCUACAAGGGAAGUGCAUUUUAAUUCCAUGUUUACUGGUCUCUUACUAAACUUAAAAGUUCAAAGAGUUCAAAAUACUUAGUCUCUACCUUCAGCCCUUAGAAGGUUCAGGCUUUGCUCGUCUGUCUCUUAAGUUGGCAUUUGCAUUCCAGAAGCCAGAACGCGCUCUUCUGCCCUUUGGUUUUCAGCCCAACAACCCUCAUCUGAAAAGCUGAUGUCUACACACAAGUCUCUGUGGCCUUCUGCUGCACCACGUUGUCAUGGUUUUAUGAUUUCUGGUUAUCAGUAUUCCACAUCACAACAUCAUGCAGUGUACUGGGAGUUAAAGAGCAAAUGCUUUAGUUCCGGGUACCUGUCUGGAAGAGAAGAAGAACUACAUUCCCCAAGAGCCUUUUCGAGUACUGUUAUCAUUCCUGCUCAAGGGAACAGAUAUAAGGGCGCAGGUCAUCUGACUUGCCCCUCUUCUCGUCUCGCUGUGUUCCUUGUCGGAUCGGCUCGCUACUGCUGCUCCUGACUGCGUGCAAGGCUUCAGUAUUAGCCCUACCUGAAGAAGUGAUGCUAGGUCCUCAGAAGUUCUCUCACCAAGAAGUUCUCUUCAGUUGUACUAAAGGCCUACUGAGGGAAACACAAAGCAUGAUGUGCCCACUUUACCUGACAGAAGUCUACUCUCCACACUGCAGCUAACACGAACAUCCUACAGUUGGUUGGAUUGUUACUUUUGAGAAGACAUUUCUGAUGGGACUGUAUUUUUUUGGUGUUCGAAAUUUUACUGACAAAUCUGAUCAAAAGCAUUAAAACCAACAGAAAAUUUCCUAUAUACUGUUACAGAUUGGCCCUGCCAGAACAUCUCUAGACCCAACAGCAUACCUAAAGAAGCAAUAAAAGAAUGUGU
Gallus gallus (chicken) is the source of this 1335-nucleotide long non-coding RNA. The record is from Ensembl. Lineage: Eukaryota; Metazoa; Chordata; Aves; Galliformes; Phasianidae.